UAUGUGCAUGCCAACAACUAUAAAAGGAGACCAUGAGGCAAUGAGUUGAUCAUCAAAGCAAACACACAGAAAUCCCAACUAAAAAUCAAUCAGUGAGACAAUGGCUGGAACCAAUGAUAUUAAAAUUAAAGGGUUUGAUUUGAGCAACAACAAAGGCAACACGUCGGGAUUAACCCACUUCGCCAACAGAGCUGCCGAGGGCGACAAGGGCGACAAUAAAAUCGAGGUUGAGGAUGCUAAAGGGCAAGGGAACACGGGAAACUUGAAAGUACUGACCGACUUCGCCCAACGCGGUAAAGUGGGCCAGUCGGAUCGCCAAGAACUACUCAAACCUCAGGCAUGAAAUUGAAGAAGGCCAGACCACAACAACUUGUCUGCUUGAUAGAUAUAUGUGCUAAAUUAUCUACACAAAAAUAAGAGCUGAUGUUUUAUCUGAGGCUCCUUCCUUGGUUAGGCCUCGUUAUCAUGUGUAAUAUUAAUAUUAUUAUUCUAAUAAAAUAAUGGUAGCUUAUUAUUAAAUAUAUCAGAAUUCUAUACGUAUAACUUUUAGAUUAUUGAUACUGAUGUCAACAAGAGAAAAUGAUUAAAAAUUCCUUUCUCCAAUUCGUGAUGUUAGACAAGAAGCAAACAAAUUUAGGAUAAUGGAUUUUAAAAGUUUGGUGACAAAUGAUGGUAAAGAAGAAUUUAGCCACUACUACAAAAAGUGAAAAAGACGACCAGAAAACAACGACGGUCUAAGUGAAAACCGUCGUGGUUUAUAAAAAGACGACGGUUCUAAAAACACCGUCGUGUAAUACAACCUUAGACAACUAAAAAAUGGAGUUUCAAAUGGCUGUUCAAAAACAACGACGUACAUAAUUAAACAACCGACGUCUAUUUGAAACAGAUUUCCUCAGUGUAAAAUCAAUGCCAACAAAGAACGGCAGAAGUUAUGAAUCGACCGACGUAGAAAGUAAAGACGACGAUUUCAAUAAAAACUGCCGUUUUUACUCAUAAAAUAACACGACGAGGUUUUCGUAUAAGACGCCGUAUAAUUACAAACAAAUCCACGGCUUUAAAAUACAAAAUAUCGCCGUAUUAAAUUAAUUUACAACGACGGAAAAUAUAAAUAUAUCGACGUCAUUCUCGUAUAGUUCUACUACGUUAUCUUUAAAUCGUACAAUAAAAUUUAUCGUCGUAUUUAUUCAUUUUAUACGUCGUACCUUUAAUUUUAACGGUCGUCUUAAUAAGAAUUUUUGUUAACAAUUUUUUUCUUUGAUUUUCUUAUCCUACGUCGGUAGAUCUACUUAAUGACAAGAAUUGAAAUAACCACGACGGUUUAUAUAGAACACCGCCGACAUAAUCAGUUUUGUCUGAGAUCCCAAGGGUUACGAAAUCUUACCAGAUGGAACUCUGUUCCACAUCAUAAUCUUAACAGAUGACACAGAUUUGCAAAUAUUGCGUCGUGUUAGUUUACAAAUUCUAGAACAUUAAUUUCCCUCAUUUUAAAUUUCCUCGGGAAAGAAAAAUCUAUUUAUCACGCUUUGGAAUUGAAAACUAAAACUGAAAGAAUACGGGAAAAAAAACUCCAUUUAUAAUUUAAAAUUAAAAUCCACGUCGGUUGUAGUACACUUAACGACGUUUAACAAAAUAAUCUACGUCGGUAAUUAUAAAUCUACCGCCAUCGUAACUUAAUAUAGACGACGAGAAAAGACGACGGUAGAACAGAAAACCGCCGUUGUUUCAGUUUCUUUAACAUAUCUUUCUGCAGGACUUGUGUAGUUCAAAGCAUUGACAAUGUCUUCAUCAUAUCUCCCAGAAACUACUGAUUCAAUUGCUCAUGCUUUAGAGGCCAUCUGAAGCCAUUUCUAUUCUUUAUCGCAUUCUUGAAACCCAUCUUCUUCUUCUGAAGCUCUACGGAUAAAGGAAGAGGCUAUCACAAUAAAUCCGACGGAUCUUCUUAGGCAAGAAAAUCAAGCAGAGGAUCAGGCACAUCUGAUCUUCAGAUUUCCCUGAGAAGCGAACUUUCCUUCGACAGCGAGUGGAGGCCAGGCUUGCAUCUCUUUUGAUGGAAAGCAAGGAGUAUUCAGAAGCACUAAGUGUCCUAUCAGGCUUGAUCAAGGAAGUGAGAAGGCUAGUUGACAAGCUUCUUCUUGUGGACAUAUAUUUGAUGCGAGUAAGCUCAAUUUCUCUUUGAGAAAACAUCCAAAUUAUUAUCUUUGAGACAUGAGAGACUGAGAGAGGAAGAACUUGGAACCUUAAAUGUAAACCGAAAAUGAAUGAAAGCGACAAAUUUAUAGAAUAAAUUUUUAAAACCAACGGCGGUCCUUACAAACAAACCGCCGUUUAAAUUGUAAAAUCAACGUCGGUAUGAUCGACGUAUAUUACAGAAAUCCACGUCGGUAAAUUAAUAAAAACGACGUGUUAAAUAAUAUACCAUGACGCGAGUUAUUACUUAUGUACUUUAAUUUUUGAGUUUACUACGACGGUACCUACAAACUACUGUCGUAUUUAUUUACCACGUCCGAAGUUAAAUGUACCGUCGUAUUUUGUAAUUUAUACGUCGUAGUUAUAUGUAACCGCCAUAUUAUUUUUUUGAAAUGGUUUUAUAUGUAAGCAACUUUUCGUCUACUUGACUUACACAUUUGUUGUUUUUAUAUUCUUAUUUUAUUUAAAUCUGUCAUCCAAAAAAGAAACUUUACAUAUUGCAGAAUAUUAAUUUCCUUCGUUUUAAAUUUCCUCCGGAAAAAAAACUCUAUUUAUAACGCACUGUAAUUGAAAAAUAAACUGAAAGGUCACGGGAAAAAAAAUUCUAUUCAUAAUUUAAAAAUUAAAAUCCACGUCGGUUAUAUUAAACCUAACGACGUUAAAUGAAAUGAUUCCACGUCGAAUGAAAAAUAUUGCGUCGUUUUAGUUAAAAACGACGUAGUUAAAUGUAACCGCCGUAUUAUUUUUUUGAAAUGGUUUUAUAUGUAAGCAACUUUUCGACUUACACAUGCACUGUUUCCAAACCCGAUUAAAAAUUUCAAUCUCCCAGAGAAACCUUUUCGUCUUUUUUCCUUGUCAGAGCAUUGUCAGAGUUUUUCAUCGUCUUCCUCUCGUCUUCUUCGUCGUCUCUGAACUUAAACAUCGAUCAUCUUCCUCUUGCUUUCAUUGCACGCAAAAGGUAAGCUUUCAUUUUCACUAUUUUGGUUACUGUUUUGCAUGCUCAUACGUUUUUUGUUUGAAAAAUCUUUUUACCUUUUUUCUGGCCAAAAUCAUUUUACUUCUUUCCAAGUUUGAUAAAAUAUACAGACAAAGAGAGAAAGUUUCCAACUUUGAAGACAACUACAUCAACUAAAUAAGACGACGGUAGACCACGACGGUUCGUCAGUUGUUCUAGCGUCGUCUGAAAAUUGACAAAGUUGUUUUUAAAAUAAUAGUCUUUUUUUAUAUGCUUGUUUAAUUGCAGGUUUGAUUUCGCUGAACAAUGGUUUUUGUUUUUCCCUUAUUUGAUAAAAUAUAAAGAAAAAGAAACUAGGGUUGGUAUCUAAUAUAGACGAUAAAAUAUAAAUAAUAGUUUACCACGACGGUGUAUUACUAUUGACGUCGUGUGAACAUAUAUACCACGACGUUAUAUAAAUAAUGGUUUUAAACAUUUAUUACGUCUGAGAUUAUUUCAUUGCGUCGUCUAAAAUCAUAUCAUACGUCGUAUUUUUUUAAUACCGUCGUUUGUGUUCUUAAUGUUUUCCUGAAAUAUUUUCACUUGCAGUUUUGUCUGUUAAAAUGGUUUCUCAACAACAAACUAAGGAUUCUGGCUCCAAGAAGCUUGGAAUGGUAGCUCCUCAAGAUAAGUCUUCGAAGGAGAUGAAGUCUUCGAAGAAGAUGAAGUUUGCUUCAUCAUCUGCUGAGACAGAACAAACCAGCCAGACAACAAUCUCAGAUGAUUCAAAGACUGGUCGAGGUAUGAGCACAAUGCCUCGUGUUGUGAAGAGAAAGCUUCAGAAACUGAGGCCAAUUGUUGAGUACAAUAAAAGGGGGAAAGGUGUUGGCCAAGCACAUAUUGAGAUGCAGUCGUAUAUUGGUGUGUUGGCACGCUCCAGGAUCCCACUUGUGGACAAGAAAUGGUCCCAAAUCCCCAAGGAUAUAAAGGAGCAGAUUUGGGAAGCAGUUGACAUGGCUUUUGUCGUAGGCCAAGGGGGCAAGACCUCUGUUUUAGCUUCUGCUUCCAAGAAAUGGAAGGAUUUCAAGUCUACACUAACGAGGCAUUAUAUCCUUCCAUACACCAAUGACAGGGAGAAAUUAAGCCAACCCCCUGAAACAUAUAAAUUCAUAGAGAAAGCACAAUGGGAUGCCUUUGUAGCUUCAAGGCUAUCCAAAGAUUUUGAGUCUGUGCAUUCUCAACAUGCACAGAUUAGGGAGAAACUCGAGUACAAUCAUCGAUUGUCUCGAAAAGGAUAUGCUGGAUUGGAGGAUCAAUUGGAGGAAACCAUGCCUGGGGUAGAAAUUGAUCGAUCUACCUUAUGGAAGAGAGCUAGACAGGACAAACAUGGUAACAUCCCUGAUCCAAAGGUGGCAGAGAAAGCAAAAUUAAUUGUAAGCCUACUAUCACUCUGUUUUAAAUUUUUAUUAAACUGUGAAUUAUUCUUAUUACGUCGUAUGUUAUAUUUUUCGUCGUGUGAAUGAUAUUACCACGUCGAAAAGUUUUUAAAAACGUCGUUAAAGGUCUAAAUAGGAAUCACUACUAUGUUUUCUGUAAUUACAGCAUAAGACGUCGGUGGUUCAUUUUCGCGUCGUGUGAAUGAUAUUACCACGUCGAAAAUUUUUUAAAAACGUCGUUAACGGUCUAAAUAGGAAUCACUACUCUGUUAUCUUUAAUUAUAGCAUAAGACGUCGGUUGUUUAUUCAUUUCGUCGUUUUAAAUAAAUAACCACGUCGGUAUAACUACCGUCGUGAUAAGUUAUAAUAACGUCGGUUUAUACGUUAUUGCGUCGUGUGAAAUUAUAUAAUACGUCGUUUGUACAUAAAUAACCGUCGUGUGUUUUUUUGUUUAUCUUUUUUUAGGAUGAAUUGCAGAAACAAGUCUCGGAAGGCAAAGUCAGAGUAGAUGGCAGCAAUGAUGUGCUGACCAUGGCUUUGGGCCCCGAGCAUCCAGGCAGACUGAGGGGAGUUGGUGCUGGUGUUUCCCCAAGGCAAUAUUUCAAUUUGCCCAAACCACAGAGGGUGAGCUUUGACGACCGUUUGAAGGACAGUUUAAGAGUUCUCCUUCAAGAAGAGACUAAAAAGAUGGAGGCUAAGGCAAGGGAAGAGGCCUUAAGGAUGGAGGCUAGGACAAAACAAUUGGUAGAGGCUGAGAGGGAGCAUUUCCUGAGUCAGCUUUCCCAAUUAAUUCCCAAUUUUGAUCCAAGCAUGCUUAAACCAAGAAUUAGCCAAAGCCCCAAAAAUCCAAUGUCUGACAAAGCUAGCUGCUCUGGAGGUGAUGUGAGAUCCCUACAUUUGGAGGAUGAUACUGCCAAAAUGGGGAAACAUCAGCCAGAUGAAGAGAAGGAAGAAGAAAAAAGAGAUGAAGAGAAGGAAGAAGAAAAGGAGAAAGAAGAUGAAGAAAAGCAUGACGACAAGGUAUGUUCACAUAACUUUGCCUUUUUUAUUUGUUUUUCAAAAUUUCAGACGUCGAUAUUUUUAUUUAAUCCGUCGUUUGUUUAAAACUUAGACGGCGGAAUUUUUUUAAGACGUAAUAAAAUAUUUAAACGACGGUUUUUGCACCGUCGUUUAAAUGGUUUCAGACGACGCUUUAUUCAUAAAACCGUCGUCUUUAUUGAAUUACCACGACAGUUUUUUCACCGUCGUUUAAAUACUUUUAAGACGACGUUUUAUUACUUAAACCGUCGUCUUUAUUGAAUUACCACGUCAUUUUUUUUAUUUCUUUAAACAGGUUAUUGAAGUUGGUGCUUAUUCAAAAAUGGAGGCGCCAUCUUCUUUAAAAACCCUUUGUCGUUUUGUGGAAACGACACUCCUGCCUGAGGAUAAGACACUCCAAUUUACAAUUGAUAAGGAGGUGUUUGGUGGUGAGCGCGAUACCUUCCUCCUGCCUGAAGAUAUUACACAAUUUGCAGGCAUGGAAGAAAUUGGAGCUACUGUAUUGGCUGUAUAUAUGAGGUUUGUACUUCUAAAAUAAUACCUCGUUGGUUUAUAUAUUGCGUCGUCUUAACUAACUAACCACGUCGUCUUAACUAACUACCGUCGUGAUAAAUAUAUUAUAACGUCCUCAUCUAUUUCAGUACGUCGUGUGAAAUAUUAUAAUACGUCGUUUUUUUAUACAUAACCGUCGUGUUUGUUUGUGCUGACUUGUUUAUAUUAUUUUAUGUAUUUAGGUACUUACACGAUGUUUUGAAACAAGCCAAUAUGUGCAGCAUGGUUGGCUUUAUUGACCCUGCUACAGUUAGUGCCAACUCUGGCACAAUAACUGAAAGAUCACGACUGGUAGCAGCUCGACUUCAGAAGACAGACGGUGAACAGCUUUUCAUGAUGCCUUACAAUCCAGGGUUAGUCUCCUUAGGAUUUUGUUUUUAUGAUUUUCAAUAAAUGACAGCUUAUAAACUAACCACGUCGGUGUUUUAUUUUAUUUAGUCGUUUGAAACUACUAACCACGUCGGUAUUUAUUUGUCGUCGUGAUAAAUAUAUAAUGUUGUCGUUAUCUACUUUAUUUCGUCGUGUGAAAUACUAUAAUACGUCGUUUUUGUAAAUAACCGUCGUUUUUAUAUUAAUUUUGUGCAGCCGUCAUUGGAUCCUGCUGAUUGUAAGAGCAAAGAAGGAGACCGUCUAUUUUCUGGAUCCUCUGCCAGGUCAUCGUGUGGUCGACGAAGAGGCGAAAAACAUCGUGAACAGUGCUUUAAAAAUAUAUAAUACCCACAUAGGCCGAGCAGGACGUAAAAAUGUAAUUUGAAAAACUCUCUCAGGCACACCAAAGCAACCCAGCAAUGUCGAAUGCGGGUAUUAUGUGAUGCGCUUCAUGAGGGACAUCAUCAUGGAUCCUUCCUUGGGGUUUGAGAAUAAGGUAAGAAGAAAUUACCUUCAUACAUUUCACGUCGUUUUUUGUAUUAUCAACGACGGUCAUGUAAAAUUAACGUCGUUGAAUGGAUAUACUACGUCGGUUAUGAAAAAUAUCGUCGUCUGUGAUUGAAUUUCUUUUUAUUUAUAAACCCUAAUAGUCAUUGUUUAUGCAGUAUGCCAAGGGAAACCAGGAAGCUUCAUACCCCCAAGAAGCCAUUGAUGAAGUCCGGAAUGAAUGGGCAGAGUUUGUUUUCCAAAUUAUUAAACAGGGCAAUUAUUGAACACUUGAUAUUUAUGUAUAAUGUACCAAUUUUCUCUAUAAUAUGUAAUGUAAAAAUUUGUUGAGGUUUUCUUAAAUUAAAAAAAAAACAAACAUACAAAUUGCUUAACCGACGUGUAAUACUUUUCCAACGACCUAAUAAAGUCACAAACCGUCGUAUUUUGUUGUUUCGUGUUUUAAACAAUUACGACGUAAAAAAAUAGUUAGACGACGUUCUUUGAACAAUUGAGUCGUUAAUGGUUUACAAUAUCUUCAAUUUCUUAAGGGUUCAGGGUAUAAUCGACGACGUUUAUGUAACGACUGCGGUUAAGUCGUAAAAUAUAUAUUUUACGUCGUAUAGUUAAAUAGCCGCCAUGGUUUUUCAUUUUAACGACGUCAUUUUAACGACUUAGUAGUCUAUUACAAUUUACAACGUCUACAAUUUAUUAACACCGACGUGGUUUGUUGUUGUGGUAAGAAUAUUUUAUUAUUUUUAUAUCAAAAUAUUCAAAAUAAAUUUAAAAUAAAUCAGAAAAUUGAAAAGUCAACUCCUAUGAAGUCAUUGAUAUAUUUUCUUCCACAUAAACCUUGAAAAAAUUCAUUUUGAAUAACAAAAAUUUAAAAUGACCAUCCAAAACAAAAUUGUUUUGAUGACUCAUAAAAUCACUUCUAGUUUUAUGGUUUAGGGUUUAGAGUCUAGGGUUUAGAGAUUAGGGUUGUUAUUUAUUGGGGUUUAUUUUUAAAGUAUAAUUUUUGGGUAGUCUAGGGUAUAUGUUAGGCUUUAAAACCAUAAAACCUUUUAUAAACUUAAUUUUUUAAAUUGUAUAAUUUAAUUUUAUGGGUUUAGGGUAUUAAUUUUUAACGACGGUGGUUGGGUCGUGGAAUACAUAUUUUACGUCGUACAGUAAAACAUACGACAUGGUUUACGCUUUAAACGACGUCAUUUUAAUAUGUAAGUCGGUUUAUAUAAUUUACAACGUCAACGUCUUUAAUUUCUUAACACCGACGUGGUUUUUCAGUCGUCGUUAUAUAAAAAAUUCAAAAUAAAUUUAAAAUUAAUCCGAAAAAUGAACGGCCUUACGUUCUUAAUCCGAAAAAUGAAGUUUCCGUCGUGGAAUAUUAAAUUUACGUCGGUACUUGUAGAACUUUCGCCUUGGUUUUUCUUUCGACGUUUUAAAACGCGCGCGCUCUAAAAAUUUUCGCGCGACCUAAACUUUUUUAGAUUUGGCUCUUAUUCUUAUACUUCGAACCCUGAAACCUAAAANNNNNNNNNNNNNNNNNNNNNNNNNNNNNNNNNNNNNNNNNNNNNNNNNNNNNNNNNNNNNNNNNNNNNNNNNNNNNNNNNNNNNNNNNNNNNNNNNNNNNNNNNNNNNNNNNNNNNNNNNNNNNNNNNNNNNNNNNNNNNNNNNNNNNNNNNNNNNNNNNNNNNNNNNNNNNNNNNNNNNNNNNNNNNNNNNNNNNNNNNNNNNNNNNNNNNNNNNNNNNNNNNNNNNNNNNNNNNNNNNNNNNNNNNNNNNNNNNNNNNNNNNNNNNNNNNNNNNNNNNNNNNNNNNNNNNNNNNNNNNNNNNNNNNNNNNNNNNNNNNNNNNNNNNNNNNNNNNNNNNNNNNNNNNNNNNNNNNNNNNNNNNNNNNNNNNNNNNNNNNNNNNNNNNNNNNNNNNNNNNNNNNNNNNNNNNNNNNNNNNNNNNNNNNNNNNNNNNNNNNNNNNNNNNNNNNNNNNNNNNNNNNNNNNNNNNNNNNNNNNNNNNNNNNNNNNNNNNNNNNNNNNNNNNNNNNNNNNNNNNNNNNNNNNNNNNNNNNNNNNNNNNNNNNNNNNNNNNNNNNNNNNNNNNNNNNNNNNNNNNNNNNNNNNNNNNNNNNNNNNNCUGUUUUUGUUUAAAACCCGUCGUCUCAUGUUGUUUAUACCUUGCGAUUAGAUCAUGUAUAAUCUGCUAUAGUGAUGGUCAUGCCUGUAUUUUCACUUUUAUAUAGAUAAUAGGUUAUAGUGUCGGAGAUGGAUAAGUCAUGGAUGCACUCGGAUAGAAGAUCGAAGGCAUAUGAGUUUGGGGUGGAAGCAUUUUUGAACUUUGCUGUAGAAAAUCUUCUAACUACAACACAUAUCCGUUGUCCAUGUGUUAAAUGUGUUAAUUUGAAGUUGUUUGGGGUUGGAAUUAUAAGGGAUCACUUAUACUUUAAUGGAAUUGACCAAAGCUAUAAGAAUUGGACAUUUCACGGAGAACCUUGGGAAGCAACUACUAAUGCUAGCAGAAAUGUUGAAGAAGAUGAUGGCCAUAGUAGGUACAGUUUUGUGUCUGAAGAAAUUGAUAUGGAUGAUAAUGAUUUUGGUGAUUUUGGUUCGGAUCCGUAUGAGUUUGCCAAUGUGAUUGGGGAUGGAGAUCAACCAGUGUACCCUGGUUGUAGAAAGUACACGAAGUUAUCGGCAUUAGUGAAGUUGUAUAAUUUGAAGGCAAAACAUGGGAUGAGUGAUGUCUGUUUUACAGAAUUAUUGAUACUUCAAGGCGAUUUGCUUCCAGAAGGAAAUACAAUACCAACCUCCAUGUAUGAGGCUAAAAAGACUUUGUGUGCAUUGGGGCUGAGUUAUGAGAAAAUGCACGCAUGCCCCAAUGAUUGCAUCUUGUAUAGGAAGGAGUAUGAGGAUUCAACUAAUUGUCCUACUUGUGGUAUCUCAAGGUGGAAGGAAGGCAAAGAUGCAAUCUUGAAAGAGGGUGUGCCAGCGAAGGUGGUGUGGUAUUUUCCCCCAAUUCCAAGGUUUAAAAGGAUGUUUCAAUCACAUGAGACAGCUAAGAGUUUGACUUGGUGGCAUGUUGCUAGAAAAUCAAUUGACGGUCAGAUGUCUCAUCCGGCGGAUUCCCCGUCUUGGAAACUUCUUGAUGAUAAAUGGCCUGAGUUUGGUAAUGAGCCGAGAAACUUGAGAUUGGCUCUUUCAUCUGAUGGAUUCAAUCCCCACAGUUCUCUAAGUAGCAGAUAUAGUUGUUGGCCGGUUAUCUUAGUUACAUAUAAUCUCCCUCCAUGGCUGUGCAUGAAACGAAAGUUCAUGAUGUUAACCUUAUUGAUUUCCGAUCCUAAACAACCCGGAAAUGAUAUAGACGUCUACUUGGAGCCUUUGAUUGAUGAUUUAAAAUCCUUGUGGGUUGGGAUUAGAGGAGUGUAUGAUGCACAUAAUGGAGAAUACUUUACACUCAGAGCUGCAUUAAUGUGGACAAUUAAUGAUUUCCCCGCCUAUGGAAACUUAUCUGGUUGUGUUGUUAAAGGAUAUAAAGCUUGUCCAAUAUGCGGCGAUGAUACACCUAGUCAAACAAAUAUUUUUUGUUGACGACCCGAUGCAUCGUGGUUGGUCGUGUAGGCGUGUGAGUGUGUGUUUGUGUUUGUUUUUGUGUGUGUGUGUGUGUGUGUGUGUGGUGUGUGUGUGUGUGUGUGUACCAUUACUNNNNNNNNNNNNNNNNNNNNNNNNNNNNNNNNNNNNNNNNNNNNNNNNNNNNNNNNNNNNNNNNNNNNNNNNNNNNNNNNNNNNNNNNNNNNNNNNNNNNAUGUAAUUGGCAGUGUAUGACAUUAAUUUUGUAAUAUAUUGUAAUGUGAUUUCUUCACUUUCUACGUUCAAAUAAAACACGACGUUAUUGUGAAUCAGUUAUUCAGCAUAUUUACCGACGUCUUAAAGCAACGUAACAAUGAAGAACCACGACGCUAUUGUGAAGCAAUUAUUCAGGAUAUCACGUCGGUGAAGGAUAAAGAACCGCCAUGUAAUUCAAAAUAACACGACUCCAAUCCCAUAAUACCGACGUCUAAAAAACGAGAUAUGUAAUCUGAACGUUAAAAAAUACGACGUCAUCAUACAUUUUCCACGUCGCAAGUUCUUUUAUAAACGAAGAGGAACGAAAUUAAUUCCGACGGAAAUUCAUUAUAACCGCCGUCUAAUAACAAUUAAACGACGUUAUUUGUAAUACGGCUCCCAUCAUAAUCUACGCCGUCUAUAUGUUCUGUAAUACGGCUCUCAUUUAUUUGGAACCGACGUUGUUUAGACGUUCAACGUCGUCUAUAUUAUUAAGUGCGUCGUGAGUAAUGAAUACAUAUAAAUACAACGUCGACUAUAUAAAUGUAUACGUCGUAAAUAAUGACACUGACAACUAUUUCCACGUCAUCUUUUUUAGAUAAAAUCGAAGUGGAAAAUUUAUUUCACGACGGUUUUUUGUAAAUAAGAGACGUUGUAGAACUUUAGCAGACUAAACACGUCUGUUUUUAUUGUUUUCCGACGUUGUUGUAUUUAACAACGUCUAAUAUUUAUGGUCGUUGUUUGUUUCUGAAAAUAGGACGUAUAAAUUUUUUAAUACGACUCUCAUAUAUUUGUAACUGACGUUGUUUAGUUUUUCAACGUCUACUAUAGAAACACAUACGUCGUAAAUAAUGACACUGACAACUAUUUCCACGUCAUCUUUUAUCAAAAAAUCGAAGUGGAAAAUUAAUUGUACGACGGUUGUGUUUAUAUGUGCGACGUAGUAGGUAUCAAUAACAUCGUCUUCUAAUGUAUUUAAAGACGUCAUAUUUUUUAUUGUCGUGAAAAUUAUAUUUAACGUCGGCGUAUUUUUAUUGUCGUCGUUGUAUGUCUAUCUUGCGGCCUUGUUCUCUUAAUAUGUGUCAUAUUUUCCCUUUUUAACGACGGUCUUUUUAGAGAAUUGGUCGUCUAUUAUCAUCAUCGAUUGCUUUUUUUAGAUCUUUUUGCAGUACAAAGACGUCGUUUUGUAUUUUUUGAUGACGUUGUAUUGUUUAACAACGACGGUUAUUUAGCGUCGUGGUUUAUGAGGGAAAAGAUGACGGUGGAUUCCACGACCAUUGAAAAACCAAAUACACGACGGUGAUUUACCGUCGUCUUUUUGCUUUUUUGUAGUAGUGAUCGGAAACUUGACUAAUUAGAAUACAACAUAUGUCGAAAUAUUUUUAUCAUAAAUGGUCUCUAAGGUUCGUGAAAUUAUUAGCUUUAGUCCUUCAUGUUUUUUUGUGACAUCAUUGGUCCUUUAUGUUACUCCUCUUCACACAUCAAUUUGGUUCUGCCGUUUGGAUUCGUCAAAAUUUAUGUUAAAUUGAUGGCAUGACAUGUAUAUGGUGCCUACAUAUCCAAUGAGAUAAUGACCCGUGGAUCUAAGUAAAAAAUUUGUUUUAAAAAAAUAGUUUCAUAUUUAAAAUUUUUAAAGGGCGAAGACUCAUUGGGUAACUCGAAGUUUGGGUUGUUGAAGCCUUCAAGCAUGGUUUUGCUCACAAAAGAUUGGAACGCAAUGUGUUGGGUUGAGCACUGAAAACCAAAGAAUAUCAAAAAUGUAGUAGGGGGGAGAGAGAGAGAGAGANNNNNNNNNNNNNNNNNNNNNNNNNNNNNNNNNNNNNNNNNNNNNNNNNNNNNNNNNNNNNNNNNNNNNNNNNNNNNNNNNNNNNNNNNNNNNNNNNNNNACCUCAUGUCAGCACUUAAUAGAAAAUUUGACGGACCCUAACGGCAUGGAUCAAAUUGAUGUGUGGUGUGUAACAAAAAGGAUCAAUAAUGUCACAAAAAACAUAAAGGACCAAAGUUGAUAAUUUUGCGAACCUUAUACACCAUUUAUGAUAAAAACCCUAUAUUGUAUAAUUUUAGUGUGUUUUUUUCUUAAAUGCUAUUGAGAAGAGAUUUUAUAAAACUGCUAUAUAAAAGGUUCACCACAAUGCUAUAAAACAAUAGUAGAUUAUGGCUCUCAGAUGUUUUCAUCUUCUUAUUCAUCCAAGCAGAUCGAUAACAUAUGGUCACUACUGACUUUUUCUUGUAGUUCUCAACAUCCAUCUUUCAAGCCAUCAACCAAGUUGUUGCAUUGCUCCUCACUGUUAGAAAAGCCUCGUUUCCCUCCUCCUCCUCCAUUGAUUGAAGGAGAGACAACAAAAGCAACUUAUGAAACAAGCCCCUCAUUUCCUUGUUAAACAUAAAUCGACCCAUUAUUGAUGAGGACUGAGAAUCUAAGAGCACACUAGUAAUUAACCUGAGUGGGGAAUAUGGAUGAUGGAUCUCUCUCUCUCUCUCUCUCUCUUGAAAAAAUCAACUUCAUUAUCCUUGGUGAAUUUGUUCUGAAUUAGUCGUGUCCAGCUACAAGCAAUACUGUACGUAGUAUAUUAUUCUCUGCAUUUGUGCAUGCCAACAACAAACAAAUAUUAUUCUCUAUUAUAGCAUAUAGGCCGUCAUUUUCAAUCCUUAUAAGAGAAAACUUGCUUCGCCAUAAGAGUACGUAGCUUGGCAAGCAAGGUAAGGGUACUUCAAAAGAUUCCUUCCAUCAUCUAUAUAAGACACAUGUGACAUUGCAUGUCUCAUCAAUCAUGUUAAGAUAAAGCUAGCUGGCAAGGCAAAUUACCAACCUUUAUGCUCGAGUAUAUUAUUCCAAGCAGAUAUAAAUGUUAAUAUAUGUGAAGAAUAUUAUGAUCAAUAUAGAAUAUGUAUCAUGAUCAGUUAUGGUAUCGACUGUCAGAAAAUAUCAUCCGCAUAUGUGCAUACCAACAUUAUCGAAAGACAGUAGGAGUAUCGUCAUAUCCGAUACAAGUAUCGGAGCAUGGGUAAGAGUAUAUAUACAAGCAUACCCGUCCAAUUAGGAGAAUCAGUGCAACAUAGAUGAAAAGAAAUUAGAUGUGAUUUCACAUAUUUUUAAAGAAUAGGGGAAAUAAACCAAUUAAUCUCUUUUGUCUUCUCCAUACAUUUUUGGUUGUGAAUUUUGGUUUUCGAAGAAUUUGGCAUUUCAAGCAACUUGGAAAACAUUUUGAUGAUCCAUUGAACCUUGUUAAAGUCGAUAUUCAAUCUCUAUGGACUUUGGCCGAAAUGUCUCAUUUCAAUUGGAAAGUGACAUUGAGAUUUGAAAAGACUAGACAUUAAGGUGGCAAGAGAAGUCUAAAAGGAUCAAACAGAAAAAAAUAAUGAAAAAUUGAAAAUAACCUAGAAAGGGGAGAAAAAAUUAGUUGCAAUAGGGAUAAUAAUGUUUGAGUAAUGCUAAACGAACUCUAAAAUUAACUUAGUACACCCUACUAUCAAACUAUUUAUUGAAUUACUAAUUUACCCUAAUAUAAAAUGACCAAAAAGGAUAUAUUGAAUUGUGCAGCAAAUGUAAUUUUAAUAAGUACACAUUACUCACCAUAUUCAACCCUAAUAUUCGAUGGAGGCGACAUUGAAUGCUAUGAAUCCAACCCAAACCCACCACCACCGUCCCUCUCUCUCUCUCUCUCUCUCUCUCUCUCUCUCUCUCUCUCUCUCUCACAAAUUAUCUUAUUUGCUCUAAAUUUUUUGCAAUGAGUCAGAAUCUUCUAUGUGUAUGUGGCAUUCGUUCAUUAGACUUGGUUAAUGCAUUCAACCCACCCAAAACAAUAAUCAUUUGAUGUUCAUCCUCGAUGUUGGUGGUUUCAAGUGAGCAUGUUCCCAAACGGCUCUUACACUUGCCCACUAGAACUCCAGCUCCUCACCCUCUGAUGAAUCUAAUGACAAUUAUGUUGUUGUUUGCACCAUAAACACCAACUUCCAACAACUCCAAUACAACCUAUUUCUUCUUAAUUAGAUACCUUGGGGGUUGAUAGCAACCUCAAUAGUCUAAGAAACAAACCCACUUCGGAAUUUUCCUUCUUCCACUAGUUGAAGGGAGAUGGGUUCCAACACGAUAUUACGCGCUUAUUAGAAUCUUAUACUCGUCGAGUCUGGGUUGGCUGGUGAUAAGCAGGGGAAGGGUGGAGUUGGGUUGUGUUAGAGAGAGAGAGAGAGAGAGAGAGAGAGAGAGAGAGAGAGAGAAAGAGAAAGAGAGAGAGAAGGGCGGUAGUGGUUGGGUUGGGUUGGAUGCGAAAGGGCUUAAAUCAGAGGAGGAAGGACGGGUUUGGCUGGGUGGGUGACAGGACCCGACCCAAUUUCCGCUUUGGAAUCCGAGCUGAAUCCUGUGCGUGUCCGACACCUGGCGAAUGUCGGGCACGAAUGACCUUUUUACCCUUCUCUUUUCAAAUUCUUUUUUUUUUUAAACUUCCCUUAGACUUCUACCGAAAAUUCGACAGAGUCUCCCCUGUAUUUUGACCAAACCCAAAGUCUUCCACCUGUCAAACAGUCUCAAAUAACACACCAACUACCAGACUAACUCAACCAACAGAUCUCAACUCCAGUUUCUCAUGUUCAACAAGAUAUCAAAGCAUUUCUAUACAAAUUUACAGAACUAUGAGAAAGUUACAACGAGAUCCUACACUUUGGGGGUGGGGCGAAAGCUGGGAAGAUGGCCCGAGUGGUUUCCUUCGUACUUCUAUGGCCUGGGGGCGAAAAACAAGGUUAAAAUUGUGAGUGGACAAAAAUAAAAUUCUUUAAAACAAAAACAAGUUAGAACAUAAUAACCCCCGUUUUGAAAUACUAGGGAUAUAAAUCGUUAAUUUAGCUAUAUUUCAAUAUAAGGAAUUCAAUAAACAUGAAUAAAUAUACUGACGAAUAAACUUGCAUAACUGAUCAAAUAUAUAUAAAGAUAAUAACGCAUGAAUAUCAAGAAACUGGUAUAAAAUCACGGGAAAUCAUAACUGGAUAAAAGAGCUCAAAAUCCUUUGAAACUACCACCUAGAUGUACCCCUGUCAUAUCCGUCAAUUCCCCUGGCAGGUCUCGGGCGUCACGCAGUCUACCCGAGCCGCAAACUGGCGAAAUCAAGGGACUAUGAUCAGCCUGAUCCGCCGGCAGGUCUCGAUGACACCAAGUCGACUCGAGCCGCUCUGGCAGGAUGCAGGGGACCGCAGUCAGCCUGAUCCGCAAUCCUGGCAGGUCUCGGGGACACAGAGUCAGCCGAGCCGCAAAUCCUGGCAGGUCUCGGGACACCAAGUCUGCCGAGCCGCAAAUUCUGGCACUCACGGUCCGAGCGUCCCCGAAACUCGUGAGGCAAAGUCAAGUGCACUGACGUAACUGAAAUCAGACUGGAUGUUCGUAGACAUCGGUCCGACUGUGGGUAAUCACCAUAAAUAGAUGGGUACAUGGUGGUUUAACAAGAAAUUCUGAUAACUCUCUGAAAUCUGAUAAGUCUGAACUAAAUUACUAUCUUUGUAUCAAAAGUCUCAAGUUUACUGCUCAACCAAUAUUAUAAAAAUAAAGAUAUUUCACAAUGCAAAUCAUGCUUCGAAAUUACGUAAUAACACUUAUUCAAGAUCAAAUAGAAAAUAUAAUUAUAAAAUCUUUUAGGAAAGAAAAGUCCACUCACUGUUGGUCCGAGCUAUCUGGACCCUUCGAAGAUCCCUCAUGUGGGUCAACUGGACCUCUGGUGCCUUACUCGAUUGAUUUGGUGGAGAAUUGAAGGAGAACGAAGGAGAUGAAGUUUGGAUGAAAAACAGGCGGAAAUCGCCAGUUUCCGGCCAAUUCCCGGCGGUCCAAGGCCGGCGACGGGUCGAGGAAGGGAGGCGGCGGCGAGGCGGACCGAUUGACACCAACGGCGGAGGUCGCCGUGCCCUGUAGCGACGGCACGCUCGAUCUGAAACAGGGAGGGGGGCGGCGGUUGCGACGGGAGAGAGAGAGAGAGAGGAGAGAGAAAUGAGGAGAGAGAAGAGAGAAGGAAGAGAUAAAAUCUGACUUUUUUUUCAAAUUACCGUUUUGCCCUUCGAGGUAAUUUAAUCGUAUCUUCUUCAUUACAAUUCCAAUUCGGGUCUACUCCGUGUCUACGGACUCGUUUCGCCGUGCUCUACGCAACGGCGCAAGCGAAAUUCUCAAAUUCUUUCUUGAUCAAAAAGUCAAAUUUUCCCCUAUUAAAAUAUGCGAGGGCAAAAUCGUCUUUUGGGUAGAAUAAAGAAAUCCUAAUUUUUAGAUAUUUUAGUUUGGGUUAUUACAGUGGGGGGUGGAGAGAUGAUGGGAGGUCGAUUUAACAGGGUUAAGUGUUGUUAAGUGGUUUACCACAUGUCAAAAAAAUAGAAGGAAAACAUGUCGGGCACAUGGCAUUUGGUAACAGUAAAAUUGGACUCAUGAAUGAGUUAGGUGUUGUGUGAUAGAGUGUAUUAGGGUGUACCAUGGGUAUUUUUAGUAGUUAAAUAGGAUGUACUGAGUUAAUUUUAUAAUUUGAUUUAAAUAUUAGGGUAUACUUAGAUCAUAGGGUGUACUCAGUUAAUUUUAAGGUUUGUUUAGCAACAUUCUAAUGUUUUGUUAUCCCCGGUCAAUAAUUUUAUAUCGUGUGGCUUAGAAGGAGGCCUGUUAUCCAACUCAUCUGGUCCACCGUCCAUGAUAUGAACCCGACUUGAGAAUCUUUUGGUGAAGUAGAACAACCCAACUUGAGAGUUGAGGCAGCCAAACUAGAAGGGAAGCAUCCCCACUCCAGUCCCGCUCCCCAUGUGCCCAAUACUUUGCUUGUUUACUUCACCUUUUAAACCUUUUAGGAUUUUCCAUAGGCUAAGAGGAAAACAACAACAUUACGGCCCAGUUUACGAAUGGAUUCGAGGGGAAAUUACUUCCCAUGCCAUUUUUUAAGGGAUGGAAAAUGGAGAUUCAUUUCCCAUAUUUGAUAAUCCUAGGAAAGUAACUAAGAAAUACUACUUUAUUUCCUUUCACAUAUUUGGUUUGUGUAGGAAUGUAAAACAAAGUUAGUUUAAUUUUUCAAUUAUAUCCAUAUGAAAUUAAAUUUUAAAAAAAAUGUAUUUAAUGCUAUAUUGUUAAUGGGGACAAUAUGGUCAUGAAAAAUGUGUAUUUAAUGUUGGCUAAUUUUCUCAAACUUUCUCAUGUGCAAGACAACGAUUUCUCAUGCCUAGACUUACCAAAUAUGGGAAAGCAAUUGAUUUCUCAUCACCAAGCCUCCUUUCCCAUGAACCAAACAGGACCUACAAGUUAUUAGCUUCAAGCCUUCAAGGAUUUUCAUAACAAAUCUUCCAAUCUCACACAAAAAUAAAAAAGCAUCCAUGUAUGUAAUUUCUAGAUUAAAAUCUCACUUUUUAGGCAUUCCAUUUUCUUAGGAUUAGGUAUUACUACGCACGGACAAUCUUACGAUUAUCUGCAAUUCAUCCUUCAAUAGCUAUGGACGUUAUAUCAAAUCAACAAUAAGACGUACAUUUCUUCAAAGAACUAAAUCAUGCGGAUGUCAACUUGCUCUCACUUAUAUGUUUGUCUCUCCAUAUGAGGAAGGGUGUUUAGCUUAAGGUUUUAGGGCGCGGUUGUCUAAGAACAAUAAGGUGAACAUGUUUUGUCAAAGUACAUGGGAGACCUUUAUCUUCAAACACAAAAAAUGGCCAAAAUUAAAUUAGCAAGGAUCGACAUAUGGAUGUGAGCUUUUACACAUUGCCACUAAUUCUCUCCAUACUUUUGUUGAAAUCAUUUACAAAAUAAGAAAACUUUAGUAAUUGAAGCGAAAGAGAAGAAUUACCAGAACAGAAAAUAAGAAAAAAGAAGCACCUAACCCAAACUUUAAGUCACGAAUUUAACAGUUUACUUUUUAAAAAAAGUAAGUUACAAAACAAUCCCCUUAUUGAUGAGGAUUGAGAAUUUAAGAGCACUAAUAACUUGAGUGAGGAAUAUUGCACAUGGACGAUGGAUCUCUCUCUCUCUCUUUGAAAAAAAAGAAAAAAGAAACAAAAAUCAACUUCAUUAUCCUUAGUGAAUUUGUUCUGGAUUAGUUGUGUUGCAAUGGAACAUCGAACCUACCUAGCUAAAAGGAAAAAAGAAAGGCCACUACGACAGUACUGCAGUAUAUUAUUCCAAGAAGACAAAUGUAAACUAUAUACGUGAAGAAUAUCUAUUAUUGGUCGUCAUUUUCAAUCCUCAUAAAAGAAAACUUACUUCGCCAUAAUUUCAGGUUGUUCUCAAGGCAGGAAGGUAAGGACACUUGAAAAGAUUCCUUCUCAUCAUCUAUACAAGGAAAUGUGUUCUCAUCAAGCUAGGGGACAAGGCAAAUUAGCAACCUUUAUACUCGAUAUAUUAUUCCAAGCAGAUAUACAUGUGAAGAAUAUUAUGAUCUUGAUCAAUAUGGAAUCAGUGGGUGUAUCGAUCGACCAUCCAAAGAAAAAGGAUAUCCUCUGCAUAUAUGUGUGCAUGCCAACAACUAUAAAAGGAGACCAUGAGGCAAUGAGUUGAUCAUCAAAGCAAACACACAGAUAUCCCAACUAAAAAUCAUUCAGUGAGACAAUGGCUGGAACCAAUGAUAUUAAAAUUAAAGGGUUCGAUUUGAGCAAAAACAGCGGCAACACGUCCGGAUUAACCCACUUCGCCAACAGAGCUGACGAGGGCGACAAGGGCGACAAUAAAAUCGAGGUUGAGGAUGCUAAAGCGCAAGAUAACAAGGGAAACUUGAAAGUACUGACCGACUUCGCCCAACGUGGUAAGGUGGGCCAGUCGGAUCGCCAAGAAAUCACGGGGAGCAAGCCACUUCAGACGGCAGCAUGAAAUUGAUGAAGGCCAUACCAUAAUAAAAUAUCUACACUAAAAUAAGAGCUGAUGCAGUAUCUGAGGCUCCUUCCUUGGUUAGGCCUCAUUAUCAUGUGCAAUACUAAUAUUAUUAUUCUAAUAAAAUAAUGGUAGCUUAUUAUUAAAUAUAUCAAAAUUCUAUACGUAUAACUUUUAGAUUAUUGAUACUGAUGACAUACCAACAAGAGAAAACGAUUCAAAAGUCCUUUCUCCAAUUCGUGAUGUUACAAAAUGAGACGUCAAAUUUAAAAAUAUAGUUGCAUACGAGUAUAAACUGAACCAAUAAGCAAUGUAUGAGUGACCAAAGGUCUCAAACGAUGCAUUUAAGAAGAAGGGUACUAAAUUAAAAGAUGUACGCCAGUGAACUAUGGCAAUCUCUCGUUGCAUGCACGCAUAUGCAAUUGAAGAAGACCUAACUUAUAUCACGAAGAAGUGGAUGGGUCUUUACAUAUGAAGUUUUUAAAAUUAACACUACCGGAAGACAAUAGGAGUAUCGGCGUAUCUGAUACAAGUAUCGGAGUCUCGGAGUAUUAGAUUUGAGCAUACCUGUCCAAAUAGGAGUAUCGGUGCAACAUAGAUGAAAAGGAAUUGGAUGUGAUUUCACAUAUUUUUAAAGAACAGGGGAAAUAAACCAAUUAAUCUCUUUCGUCUUGUCCACACAUUUCUUGUUGCAAAUUUUGGUUUUCAAAAAAUUUGGCAUUUCAAGCAACUUGGAAAACAUUUUGAUGAUCCAUUAUUGAACCUCUAAAGUCGAUAUUCAAUCCCUAUCGACCUUGCUCAAAAAAUGUCUCAUUUCAAUUAGUGCAGAGAAAAAUAAAGGCAGAGUUGAAAAUAGAUUUUUCAGUUUGGAAAGUGACAUUGAGAUGUAAAAAGACUAGACAUUAAGGUGGCAAGAGAGAUCUAACAGGAUCAGACAAAAAAGGAAAAAAAAAUGAAUGAAAAAUAGAAAAUGCCCUAGAAAGGGGAGAACAACUUAGUUGCAAUGGGGAUAACAAUAUCUUGCUAUUACUGGUCAAUAAUUUUAUACCACGUGGCCUAGAAGGAGGCCUGUUAGUCCAACUCAUCUGGUCCACUUCCCAUUAUAUGAACCCGACUUGAGAGUUUUGGUUUUUUGGUUGAAGUAGAACAACCCGACUUGAGAAUUGAGGCAGCCAAACUAGAAGGGAAGCAGCCCACUCCACUCCCGCUCCCCAUGUGCCCAGUACUUCGCUUGUUUACUUCACCUUUUAAACCUUUUAGGAUUUUUUUUAUAGGAUAAGAGGAAAACGACGACAUUACAAGUUAUUACGCAUCAACGUAUGUAAUUUCUAGAUUAAAAUCUCACUUUUUACGCAUGUCAUUAUCUUAGGAUUAUGUAUUACUACGCACUGACAAUCUUACGAUUAUCUGCAAUUCAUCCUUCAAUGACCAAAGACGUUAUAUCAAAUCAACAAUAAGACAUACAUUUCUCCAAAUAACUAAAUUAUGUGGAUUUCAACUUGCUCUCAUUUAUAUGUUUGUCUCUCUCCUCCUAUUGAUUAGCCUCUCCAUAAGAGCAAAUAUGAAAAAAGAAGCUCCCAAUCCGAACUUUAAGUCACAAGUUUAACAGUUUACUUUUAAACAAAAGCAAGUUACGAAACAAUCCCCUGAUUUCCUUGUUAAACAUCAACCGACCCAUUAUUGAUGAGGAUUGAGAAUCUAAGAGCAUAUGGACGAUGGAUCUCUCUCUCUUUUUGAAAACAAAAACAAAAACAAAAAACAAAAAUCAACUUCAUUAUCCUUGGUGAAUUUGUUCUGGAUUAGUUGUUUUGAAUUAGUACAGCUUACGUACGCAAUGGAACAUCGAACUUAGCUAGCUAAAAGGAAAAAAGAAAGGCCACUACUACAGUACCGCAGUAUAUUAUUCCAAGAAGACAAAUGUAAACUAUAUACGUGAAGAAUCUCUAGUAUUGGUCGUCAUUUUCAAUCCUUAUAAAAGAAAGCUUGCUUCGCCAUAAUUUCAGGUUGUUCUCAAGGCAGGCAGAGAGAGUACGUAGCUUGGCAAGAAAGGUAAGGGCACUUCAAAAGAUUGUUUCUCAUCAUCUAUAUGAGGAAAUGUGUUGCCAUCAAGCUAGCGGACAAGGCAAAUUAGCAACCUUUAUACUCGAUAUAUUAUUCCAAGCAGAUAUACAUGUAAAUAUAUGUGAAGAAUAUUAUGAUCAUGAUCAAUAUAGAAUCUGUAUCAUGAUCAGAGGGUAUCGAUCCAGCAUCCAAAGAAAAAGGAUAUACUCUGCAUAUGUGCAUGCCAACAACUAUAAAAGGAGACCAUGAGGCAAUGAGUCGAUCAUCAACGGAAACACACAGAUAUCCCAACUAAAAAUCCAUCGUGAGACAAUGGCUGGAACCAAUGAUAUUAAAAUUAAGGGGUUUGAUUUGAGCAACAACAAAGGCAACACGUCGGGAUUAACCCACUUCGCCAACAGAGCUGACGGGGGCGACAAUGGCAACAAUAAAAUCGAGGUUGAGGAUGCUAAAGGGCAAGGGAACACGGGAAACUUGAAAGUACUGACCGACUUCGCCCAACGCGGUAAAGUGGGCCAGUCGGAUCGCCAAGAACUACUCAAACCUCAGGCAUGAAAUUGAAGAAGGCCAGACCACAACAACUUGUCUGCUUGAUAGAUAUAUGUGCUAAAUUAUCUACACAAAAAUAAGAGCUGAUGUUUUAUCUGAGGCUCCUUCCUUGGUUAGGCCUCGUUAUCAUGUGUAAUAUUAAUAUUAUUAUUCUAAUAAAAUAAUGGUAGCUUAUUAUUAAAUAUAUCAAAAUUCUAUACGUAUAACUUUUAGAUUAUUGAUACUGAUGUCAACAAGAGAAAAUGAUUAAAAAGUCCUUUCUCCAAUUCGUGAUGUUACAAAAUGAGACUUCAAAUUUUAAAACUAUAGUUGCAUACGAGUACAAAACUGAACCAAACAAUGUAUGGGCCAGAGUGACCAAGGAUGUACGCCAGUGAACUAAUGGCAAUCUCUCGUUGCAUGCACGCAUAUGCAAUUGAAGGAGGCAUUAUCUGAGGCUCCUUCCUUGGCUAGGCCUCAUUUUCAAUUUUGAUUUCAACUUUGAUUUUGCUUAAACUUUGAUUUUGAGCUAGACUGUGAUUUCGACUUUGAUCUCCCAAUUCGUGCCUUAAGAAUCAGUUUCUCCCAACUCUAUUUACCAAAACCGAAAACUCUGAACUUUUCAAUUCGUCUGGCUACUCUCAGGGUUUCAUGCCUUAGUUUCCUCUCGCCAAAAAGCCAAAAAGACUUGGCUUUCAUGUAAUGCUAUACUCCUCGAUUGAACAAGCCGCGUCUUCAAAUUCAGCUUUCUCACUUCCUUUCUCUUUACUUUCUUUCUUUUGUUUUCCGGCUGGGAAAAUCAUGGAAGCAUUACAAAUUUAAGAGAAUAUUCUAGUAUUAGGGUCCAAACUGUACUAUUUAGGUAUUUUCAUUCUGAUUAAGAGUUCUUUUCUAGAAAUUUGGGGAAGAAAAAAUAGAGUUUCUGUUUUAGUGUUUGAUUUUCAUUACAGUGAAUUAUGUGAAACCGAAAUGUUUCUUGUCUGAUUUCAUCACUGCUUUCAAAUUGCAAAUUAAGGAUUUGAAGGUUAACAAUGCCCGUCUUUAACAAUGUCGCAUUUCAAUUAGUACAAAAGAAAAAUAAAGGCAUAGUUGAAAAUAGAUUUUUCAGUUUCGAAAGUGACAUUGAGAUUUAAAAAGACUAGACAUUAAGAUGGCAAGAGAGAUCUAAAAGGAUCAAACAAAAAAAGUGAAUGAAAAAUUGAAAAUGCCCUAGAAAGGGAGGAAAUCUUAGUUGCAAUGGGGAUAACAAUGUUUUGCUAUCCUCGAACAAUAAUUUUACACCACGUGACCUAGAAGGAGGCAUGUUAAUCUAACUCAUCUGGUCCACCGUCCAUGAUAUGAACCCGACUUGUGAGUUUUUUUUUUUUUUUGUUGAAGUAGAACAACCAAACUUGAGAGUUGAUGUCACAUCUCAGGAUCGGCUUCACCGUAGCACGAUAUUGUCUGCUUUGGGCCCCCUCGCUGUCCUCGCGGUUUUGUUUCUAGGAGCUCACGAGCAACUUCUCAGUUGGUCACUCAUCUUAGGAUUGCUCUGGCCCAAACUCACUUAACUUCGGAGUUCUCAUGACUCCGAAGCUAGUGAGCUCCUAAAAGGCCUCGUACUAAAUGGAAGUGGGCAUAUAUAUAUAAGGCACAACACCCCAUCUUCGUUGGUUGAUGUGGAAUGUUACAAUCCACCCCCCUUAGAGGUCUGACUUCCUCGUCGGCACACUCUCACCACACGGCAGAGUGGCUCUGAUACCAAACUGUCACAUCCCGGGAACGGCUCCGUCGUAGCACGAUAUUGUCCGCAUUGGGCCAACCUUUCUGCCCUCACGGUUUUGUUACUGGGAGCUCACGAGCAACUUCCCAGUGAAUCACUCAUCCUGGGAUUGCUCUAGCCCAAACUCGCUUCACUUCGGAGUUCCUAUGACUCCGAAGCCAAUUAGCUCCCAAAAGACCUCGUGCUAGAUAAAGGUGGGCACGUACAUAUAAGGCACAUCACCUUCUCUUCGUUGAUCGAUGUGGGAUGUUACAGUUGAGGGCUCCGUUGGUCGAUGUAGGAUGUUACAGUUGAGGCAGCCAAACUAGAAGGGAAGCAACCCAACUCCACUCCCUCUCCCCAUGUGCCCAGUUCUCUGCUCGUUUACUUCACCUUUUAAACAUUUUAGGAUUUUCCAUAAGCAAAGAGGAGAACGACCACAUUACGGUCUCGUUUGGUUCACGAACAGAUUUAAGGGGAAAUAACUUCUCAUGUCAUUUCUCAAGGGAUGAGAAAUGGAGAUUCAUUUCCCAUAUUUGGUAAUCCUAGGAAAAUAACAAAGAAAUACCACUUUAUUUCCUUUCACAUGUUUGGUUUGUCUAGGAAUGUAAAACAAAGUUUGUUUAAUUUUCCAAUUAUACCGAUAUGAAAUCAAAUAAAAAAAGAAUAUUUAAUGUUAUAUUGUAAUUCUAAACUGUUAAUAGGGACAAUAUGAUCAUGAAAAAUGUGUAUUUAAUGUUGGCUCAUUUGCUUAUUUUCCCAAACUUUCACAUGAGGAGGAAAACAAAACCCAAGGGGGGAGGAUGGCUUCACUUUCCCCUCUACUUUCCCAUGUACAAGGCAACGAUUUCUCAAGUCUGGACUUACCAUACAUGGGAAAGAAAUUAAUUUCUCAUCCCCAAGUCAUUUUUCCCAUAAACCAAACGGAGCCUACAGGUUAUAAGCUUCAACCUUUAAGGAUUUUCAUAACAAAUCUUGCAAUCUCAUACCAAGGAAAUAAAAAUAAAAAAAAGGAUCCAUGCGUGUAAUUUCUAGAUUAAAAUCUCACUUUUUACGCAUGCCAUUAUCUAAGGAUUAGGUAUGACUACACACGAACAAUCUUACAAUUAUCUGCAAUUCGUCCUUCAAUGGCCAAAGACGUUAUAUCAAAUGAACAAUAAGACGUACAUUUCUUCAAAGAACUAAAUUAUGUGGAUUUCAACUUGCUCUCACUUAUAUGUUUCUCUCUCUCCUCCUAUUGUUUAGCUUAAGGUUUUAGGGCGUGGUUGUCUAAGAACAAUAAGGUAAACAUGCUUACAAAAAAAGAUGGACAGCAAGGAUGGACAUAUGCGAAUGUGAGCUUUUACACAUUGCCACUAAUUUUCUCCAUGAUUUUGUUGAAAUCAUUAACAAAAUAAGAAACUUUAGUAAUUGAAGCGAAAGAGACUAAUUAUCAGAAGAGAAAAUAUGAAAAAAGAAGCUCCCAAUCCAAACUUUAAGUCACAAGUUUAACAGUUUACUUUAAAACAAAAGCAAGUUACGAAACAAUCCCCUGAUUUCCUUGUUAAACAUCAACCGACCCAUUAUUGAUGAGGAUUGAGAAUCUAAGAGCAUAUGGACGAUGGAUCUCUCUCUCUUUUUGAAAACAAAAACAAAAACAAAAAUCAACUUCAUUAUCCUUAGUGAAUUUGUUCGGGAUUAGUUGUGUUGAAUUAGUACAGCUUACUUACGCAAUCGAAUAUCAAACCUAGCUAGCUAAAAAGAGAAAAAGAAAGGCCACAACGACAGUACUGUAGUAUACGUGAAGAAUCUUAUGAUCUAUAAUAUUCUGUAUUAUUGGCCAUCAUUUUCAAUCCUUAUUAAAGAAAACUUGCUUCGCCAUAAUUUCAAGUUGUUCUGAAGGCAGGCAUAGAGAGCACGUAGCUUGGCAAGGGAGGUAAGGGCACUUCGAAAGAUUCCUUCUCAUCAUCUAUACAAGGAAAUGUGUUCUCAUCAAGCUACGGGACAAGGCAAAUUAGCAACCUUUAUACUCAGAUAUAUUAUUCCAAGCAGAUAAACAUGUAAAUAUAUGUGAAGAAUAUUAUGAUAAUGAUCAAUAUAGAAUCUGUAACAUUAUCAGAGGGGUAUCGAUCGACCAUCCAAAGAAAAGGAUAUCCUCUGCAUAUGUGCAUGCCAACAACUAUAAAAGGAGACCAUGAGGCAAUGAAUCAUCAAAGCAAAGACACAGAUAUCCCAACUAAAAAUCAAUCAGUGAGACAAUGGCUGGAACUGGAACCAAUGAUAUUAAAAUUAAAGGGUUCGAUUUGAGCAACAACAGCGGCAACACGUCGGGAUUAACCCACUUCGCCAACAGAGCUGAUGGGGGCGACAAGGGCGACAAUAAAAUCGAGGUUGAGGGUGCUAAAGCGCAAGAUAACAAGGGAAACUUGAAAGUACUUACCGAUUUCGCCCAACGCGGUGAAGUGGGCAGGUCGGAUCGCCAAGAACUUCUCAAGCCUCAGGCAUGAAAUUGAAGAAGGCCAUACCAUAUAUGUGCUGAAUUAUCUACACAAAAAUAAGAGCUGAUGUUUUAUCUGAGGCUCCUUCCUUGGUUAGGCCUCGUUAUCAUGUGUAAUAUUAAUAUUAUUAUUCUAAUAAAAUAAUGGCAGCUUAUUAUUAAAUAUAUCAAAAUUCUAUACGUAUAACUUUUAGAUUCUUGAGUGGGAAACCCUAGCUGCAUUCUGGUCCCUUUUCUUCUUGCCGACAACCAACCACAAGGAAACUAAAGGGGGAGGUGGCCACUGCCCCUCCCCCCCUUCGCCCAUCUUCCCUUUCUCUCCUCAUCUUCCCUUCUUUUUCUCCCAUCUUUUCCCUUCCUCUUAUGCCCUCUUCUCUUCCCAUUCCCUUUCCCAUAUAGUCUAGAUCUAUUUGGAUCUAGGUUUUGUUUGUUUGUUUGUUUGGUUUGGUUUGGUUGUUUUUGCAGUAUUCUAGGUGACUGGUAGUGACGUUGGAUUGUGUCUAUUAUCGGGAGAGUUGUGAUACCUAGUGGCUGAUGUUUUGUCUCUGUUUCAACGACGGCGGCAGUAGCGACACUAGUGAUAGUUAUUGGAUGUGGUGCUCUUCUUUAUUCUGCACUUACCGAAGAACUAUGCUUGGUCAUAGGAGGUUUUCUUUGUCAGAUUCUGAGUUGAAGUGGAGUGCUUCUUAGGGGUCCUUUUAUUGUUGCUUCUAUGUUCCUCCUCUGUGUUCUCUCCUGUUUUCUGUUAUGGUAUGCCUUGUAGUUUGUAUGGGUGUCAAAAUACUAUGAUUUUGCUCAUAGAAGGCUUCUUUUGACAGUUGGGAUAUUCUACGAUCCUCUUCUGUGGGUUUACUAUUUGGGGUUUCUGUCGUUCUCUCAUGUGGGUGUACUAUGUUGGUAUCUAGUUGAGGUUUUCGUCGGAGUUCUUUUUGUUAGUUUUCGUUUUUGAUUUGUUCUUUUAUUGUAAUGGUCCAAAGCGACCAGAAUUAAACUCUCUUGUUAGUCCAUGACAUGUGUGGUACUCUUUUCUCCCCGGGGUUUGUCCCUUGAGAUUGCCCUAGGAAGGUUUUAACGAGGCCACUAUAUCAUGUUGCUCAUUGUACGUCUUUGGUUCUAUUAAUUAAUUCUCUUUCUUAAAAAUAACAAAAAUAAAUAAAUAAAUAAAUAAAAAUUUAGAUUAUUGAUAACGAUGUCAACAAGAGAAAAUGAUUAAAAAGUCCUUUCUCCAAUUCGUGAUGUUACAAAAUGAGACUUCAAAUUGUAAAACUAUAGUUGGAUACGAGUAUAAAACUGAACCAGGCAAUGUAUGGGCCAGAGUGACCAAGGUUGUACGACAGUGAACUAAUGGCAAUUUCUCGUUGCAUGCACGCAUAUGCAAUUGAAGAAUGCCAUAAUAAUAUGUGUUUUUACUAAAUUAUCUACACUAAAAUAAAAACUGAGGCAUUAUCUGAGGCUCUUUCCUUGGCUAGGCCUCAUUUUCAAUUUUGAUUUCAACUUUGAUUUCGCUUAAACUUUGAUUUUGAGCUAGACUGUAAUUUCGACUUUGAUUCUGAUUCUCUCCCAAUUCAUGCCUUAAGAAUCAGUUUCUCCCAACUCUAUUUACCAAAACCAAAAACUCUAAACUUUUCAAUUCGUCUGGGUACUCUCAGAGUUUCAUGCCCUAGUUUCCUCUCGCCAAAAAGCCAAAAAGACUUGGCUUUCAUGUAAUGCUAUACUCCUCGAUUGAACAAGCUGCGUCUUCAAAUUCAACUUUCUCACUUCCCUUCUCUUUACUUUCUUUUCUUUUGUUUUCCAGCCCGGAAAAUCAUGGAAGCAUUACAAAUUUAAGAGAAUAUUCUAGUAUUAGGGUCCAAACUGUACUAUUUAGGUAUUUUCAUUCUGAUUAAGAGUUCUUUUCUAGAAAUUUGGUGAAGAAAAAAUAGAGUUUCUGUUUUAGUGUUUGAUUUUCAUUAUAGUGAGUUAUGUGAAAUCGAAAUGUUUCUUGUGUGAUUUCAUCACUGCUUUCAAAUUGCAAAUUAAGGAUUUGAAGGUUACAAAUUAUUAUGUAGAUAAUUUUUGGGAAUUUAAGAGGCAGUACAGUGUUUGUAUAAGUCUUGAGAUAGACCAAUUUACCACAUGCUCGAUUUCUAUAUAUAAAUUUUUUUAAAUCAUUCUUUUGUUUUAUUUAUUCUGUUAAUUUGUCAUAAUGUGUAAUAUGAUAGCUUCUAAUUCUUUCUUCCUAUUUCUUCUUUUUUGUUAUUCUCUCCCAAAUGAAAUGAAGACCUAACUUAUAUCAAGAAGAAGAGGAUGGAUCCUUACAUAUGAAGAUUUUAAAAUUAACAUUAUUGGAAGACAGUAGGAGUAUCGGCAAUUUGAUACAAGUAUCGGAGUAUCAAAUACGAGCAUGCCCGUCUUUAACAAUGUCUCAUUUCAAUUAGUACAAAAGAAAAAUAAAGGCAGAGUUCAAAAUAGAUUGUUCAGUUUCGAAAGUGACAUUGAGAUUUAAAAAGACUAGACAUUAAGAUGGCAAGAGAGAUCUAAAAGGAUCAAACAAAAAAAAUGAAUGAAAAAUUGAAAAUGCCCUAGAAAGGGAGGAAAUCUUAGUUGCAAUGGGGAUAACAGUAUUUUGCUAUCCUCGAUCAAUAAUUUUAUACCACGUGACCUAAGGAGGCAUGUCAAUCUAGCUCAUCUGGUCCACCGUCCAUGAUAUGAACUCGACUUGAGAGUUUUUUUUUUUUUUUUUUUUUUUUUUUGGGGUUGAAGUAGAACAACUAGACUUGAGAGUUGAUGUCACAUCUCAAGGUCGGUUCCACCGUAGCACGAUAUUGUCUGCUUUGGGCCCCCUCUUUGUCCUCGCGGUUUUGUUUUUAGGAGCUCACGAGCAACUUCCCAGUUGGUCACCCAUCUUGGGAUUGCUCUAGCCCAAACUCACUUAACUUCGGAGUUCUCAUGACUUCGAAAUCAGUGAGCUCCCAAAAGGCCUCGUGCUAAAAGGAGGUGGGCAUAUACAUAUAAGGCGCAACACCCCCUCUCCGUUAGUCGAUGUGGAAUGUUACAAUCCACCCCCUUUAGAGGUCCGACGUCCUCGUCGGCACAGUCUCACCACACGGCAGAGUGGCUCUAUGCCAAAUUGUCGCAUUCCGGGAUCGGCUCCGUCGUAACACGAUAUUGUCCGCGUUGGGUCAACCUCUCUGCCCUCACGAUUUUGUUUCUGGGAGCUUACGAGCAACUUCCCAGUAGAUCACUCAUCCAAACUCGCUUAACUUCGGAGUUCCCAUGACUCCGAAGCCAGUGAGCUCCCAAAAGACCUCGUGCUAAAUGGAGGUAGGCAUGUACAUAUAAGGCACAUCACCUCCGCUCCGUUGGUCGAUGUGGGAUGUUACAGUUGAGGGCUCCGUUGGUCGAUGUACGAUGUUACAGUUGAGGGCUCCGUUGGUCGAUGUAGGAUGUUAUAGUUGAGGCAGCCAAAAUAGAAGGGAAGCAACCCUACUCCACUCCCUCUCCCCAUGUGCCCAGUUCUCUACUCGUUUACUUCACCUUUUAAACCCCUUCGUACUUGAAGACCUGGCUGGCAAUUUGAUUGAAGCGAAAGAGACUAAUUAUCCAUGCUUUUGUUGAAAUCAUUAACAAAAUAAGAAACUUUAGUAAUUGAAGCGAAAGAGACUAAUUAUCAAAACAGAAAAUAUGAAAAAAGAAGCUCCCAAUCCGAACUUUAAGUCACAAGUUUAACAGUUUACUUUAAAACAAAAGCAAGUUACGAAACAAUCCCCUUAUUUACUUGUUAAACAUCAACCGACCCAUUAUUGAUGAGGAUUGAGAAUCUAAGAGCACAUGGACGAUGGAUCUCUCUCCCUUUUUGAAAACAAAAACAAAAACCAACUUCAUUAUCCUUAGUGAAUUUGUUCUGGAUUAGUUGUGUUGCAAUGGAACAUCGAACCUACCUAGCUAAAAGGAAAAAAGAAAGGCCACUACGACAGUACUGCAGUAUAUUAUUCCAAGAAGACAAAUGUAGACUAUAUACGUGAAGAAUAUCUAGUAUUGGUCGUCAUUUUCAAUCCUCAUAAAAGAAAACUUACUUCGCCAUAAUUUCAGGUUGUUCUCAAGGCAGGAAGGUAAGGACACUUGAAAAGAUUCCUUCUCAUCAUCUAUAUAAGGAAAUGUGUUCUCAUCAAGCUAGGGGACAAGGCAAAUUAGCAACCUUUAUACUCGAUAUAUUAUUCCAAGCAGAUAUACAUGUGAAGAAUAUUAUGAUCUUGAUCAAUAUGGAAUCUGUAUCAUGAUCAGUGGAUGUAUCGAUCGACCAUCCAAAGAAAAAGGAUAUCCUCUGCAUAUAUGUGUGCAUGCCAACAACUAUAAAAGGAGACCAUGAGGCAAUGAGUUGAUCAUCAAAGCAAACACACAGAAAUCCCAACUAAAAAUCAAUCAGUGAGACAAUGGCUGGAACUGGAACCAAUGAUAUUAAAAUUAAAGGGUUCGAUGUGAGCAACAACAGCGGCAACACGUCGGGAUUAACCCACUUCGCCAACAGAGCUGCCGAGGGCGACAAGGGCGACAAUAAAAUCGAGGUUGAGGAUGCUAAAGGGCAAGGGAACACGGGAAACUUGAAAGUACUGACCGACUUCGCCCAACGCGGUAAAGUGGGCCAGUCGGAUCGCCAAGAACUUGUCAAACCUCAGGCAUGAAAUUGAAGAAGGCCAUACCAUAACCACUUGUCUGCUUGAUAGAUAUAUGUGCUAAAUUAUCUACACAAAAAUAAGAGCUGAUGUUUUAUCUGAGGCUCCUUCCUUGGUUAGGCCUCGUUAUCAUGUGUAAUAUUAAUAUUAUUAUUCUAAUAAAAUAAUGGUAGCUUAUUAUUAAAUAUACCCAAAUACUAUACGUAUAACUUUUAGAUUAUUGAUACUGGUGUCAACAAGAGAAAAUGAUUAAAAAGUCCUUUCUCGCAUUCGUGAUGUUAGAA
RNAcentral lists this long non-coding RNA (31351 nucleotides) under Prunus persica (peach). RNAcentral describes it as "long non-coding RNA (PPER_LNC001538)". The record is from RNAcentral. Lineage: Eukaryota; Viridiplantae; Streptophyta; Magnoliopsida; Rosales; Rosaceae.